GGUGUGGAAAAGGAAGCCCUGGCCCUCCUGGGAUUGGAGGGAUUGCAAGAGAUGACCAAGGCAGAUGGUUAUUUUCUUUUUGUGGGCACAUGGCAAAAGCAUCAAGUUUAGCUGCUAAACUUUGGGCAAUAGAAAGACGAUUAAUGCUGUUGAAGGUUAUGAAAUAAAAGAUGGCAUCCUUGAAACUGAUUCUACAGAAGCUCU
This 204-nucleotide long non-coding RNA is filed under the name Panax ginseng (ginseng). Its description in RNAcentral is "long non-coding RNA (PGIN_LNC004525)". Lineage: Eukaryota; Viridiplantae; Streptophyta; Magnoliopsida; Apiales; Araliaceae. The record is from RNAcentral.